UUAUAUUGUCUCUUUAUAAAUAACUUUCUAUCUAUUUCUGUGGAUUAUUCCUACAAAGUACUUUUCAUAUGUCCAGUUUCUUUUCUUCCCCUACAACUACCGUCUGAAUACUGGCUCUGCUAUUUGCUGAUAUGAUUCUCGGCAAGUUGCCUGCACUUUUUAAACUUUAUUUCCUCAUUCAGAACAUGGGGCCAUGUAAUACUCAUGUACGUGAGUAUUACGUAAUAAUGCUCACUUAAGUGUUACUGGGGAAUUAAACAAAAAAAUGCAUGGCAAGCAUUUAACAUAGUGCCUGACACAAUAAUGAGCACUCAGUAGAUGUUAGAUUUUAUUAAUAUUGUUGUUGUUAUGUCCGGAAACACUAUACCUCCAGAAAAUCAUGGGUACUUGCUUGGGAUGUUGGGGAUAUGCAUGAUUUGGAAAGAUGUCAUCACAAUGGAUCCCAAAGACAAUUGGUCAAAAGAUGCAAAUGAUACACUACUGCUGCAGCUCACAAACACCUCUGCAUAUUACACGUACCUCCUCCUGCUCCUCAAGAGUGUGGUCUAUUUUGCCAUCAUCACCUGCUGUCUGCUUAGAAGAACGGCUUUCUGCUGCAAUGGAGAGAAAUCAUAACAGACGGUGGCACAAGGAGGCCAUCUUUUCCUCAUCGGUUAUUGUCCCUAGAAGCGUCUUCUGAGGAUCUAGUUGGGCUUUCUUUCUGGGUUUGGGCCAUUUCAGUUCUCAUGUGUGUACUAUUCUAUCAUUAUUGUAUAAUGGUUUUCAAACCAGUGGGCACACAGAGAACCUCACUCUGUAAUAACAAUGAGGAAUAGCCAUGGCGAUCUCCAGCACCAAUCUCUCCAUGUUUUCCACAGCUCCUCCAGCCAACCCAAAUAGCGCCUGCUAUAGUGUAGACAGCCUGCGGCUUCUAGCCUUGUCCCUCUCUUAGUGUUCUUUAAUCAGAUAACUGCCUGGAAGCCUUUCAUUUUACACGCCCUGAAGCAGUCUUCUUUGCUAGUUGAAUUAUGUGGUGUGUUUUUCCGUAAUAAGCAAAAUAAAUUUAAAAAAAUGAAAAGUUGACUUUUGUCCAUGGUAUUUUAAUUGGAUGACAUCAAAUUGAACAUCCAAGGUAAGAAACA
RNAcentral lists this long non-coding RNA (1121 nucleotides) under Homo sapiens (human). Its description in RNAcentral is "HSALNT0340349". Lineage: Eukaryota; Metazoa; Chordata; Mammalia; Primates; Hominidae. The record is from RNAcentral.